Molecule: non-coding RNA, 171 nt
Organism: Clostridiales bacterium 45_37
Lineage: Bacteria; Bacillati; Bacillota; Clostridia; Eubacteriales
Source: Rfam
UCCAUUGUGAGAUGGAAUCUGAAGGAAGCCUGAGGCAAACCAUUGGUCCGACGGACAGAAAUCAUGUAUAAGGCUUACAGUUCGGAUAAGACUGCUGAACAAGUUGAAGUCCAAUAGCUAACAGAGGACUGGUAGUAGACAUGGCGGAUAGGUGAUGAGAAAGAUAGCGUA